This 314-nucleotide ribosomal RNA is filed under the name Gallicrex cinerea (watercock). RNAcentral's name for it is "partial 12S ribosomal RNA". It matches the Rfam family "Bacterial small subunit ribosomal RNA", at positions 868 to 1341 of the family's 1533-position model. Lineage: Eukaryota; Metazoa; Chordata; Aves; Gruiformes; Rallidae. The record is from RNAcentral.
UCCGCCCGAGAACUACGAGCACAAACGCUUAAAACUCUAAGGACUUGGCGGUGCCCCAAAUCCACCUAGAGGAGCCUGUUCUGUAAUCGAUAAUCCACGAUAUACCCGACCCCUUCUUGCCCACAGCAGCCUACAUACCGCCGGUCACAGUUAACCUCCCCUGAGAGCCCCAGCAGUGAGCACAACAGCACUCCCCCUAAUAAGACAGGUCAAGGUAUAGCUUAUGGAGGGGAACAAAUGGGCUACAUUUUCUAAAAUAGAAAACCCACGGAAAGAAGCCUGAAAGAGCUUCCAGAAGGAGGAUUUAGCAGUAA